CUGCUCUCACCGCCUCCUCAGAGGGCUUCAGCGAGCACUUUGUGCAUCACAUGUCAUGCAUCACCCCCCUGCUGUCUCUCUUUCUCACUUUUUUUCUUCUUCUUCUUUUUCUUCUCAGCGCGAACGCUGUCGCACUCGUUCUAACACACCCUAAAUGACACAAGUCAGCCUCUUUGCCAUUCUUCGCUCUCCAGCAACACAAACAGUAUCUCUCACUCACAACUUUGGAAACCAGCAAACGCGCUGAGCGGUCUGCAAAGCUUCCUGUCAUCCCAGUGAACGCAGUAGAGUUUAACAAGGGCAGACUUCCUGUUACAUCUCCAGUGUGAAUCCUGAGUAUAAAAUUCACCAAUGGAUCUCCUGAUGACAAGUUCACAGCUGCUUUGAAAGCACCAGGAGUUUGUGACUGUAAAGUUCAGCCUGUAACUGAGACUCCAAACCAUCCAAGAUUUUUUUUCUUUAAUUCAACUGUAACUUCUUCCUAAGGAGGUAAUGCACAUUUUUAAUUACAUUUGAUUGUAGCAAUGUCAGAUUUGUGUCGUUGCAACGAGUUAAAAGUGGACUGACAAUGAGUUCAGAAGCCAUACACAGAGUCUGUGGCAGACUCUCGGUUUCCAUUGUUUAAAAGUGCAAAGAGAGAAACAGCUUUCUGCUUUUGUGUUCCCUCAAGUGCAUACACUGCAUUGUUUUAAGUGACAAGGCACACCCUUGCUAAAAUAAACAGUGAAAACUGCUCUUAAAGCUAAAAAUGUACCUAUUUUUAGAAGUGCUUGGGUUUUUUGGGUGUGUUAAACAGAGUUAAUGAUCUUCUUGGCAAGAGUUUGAUAAAAAAAAAAUUAAUAUUACUCUCAUAUGUAGAAAUAUGAAGAUGAUGCAGACAGUUAGCUUUGCUAAGCAGUGUUAGAAAAAAACACGCAGCUUUUGUGUUUGAAAAAAGACCUAAAGCAGCUGUAAAUCUUGCUUGCUUGCUGUUUCUUUUUUUAAUUUGCACCGCAACGCAACUGUCAGAUUAGUUUGUUGUGUCAGACUGAUUCUUAGCUGGUGUUCUUGGGACCGAAGCAAACUGUAAUGCAGCAGACGACUGAAACAAACUUUCAAAAGUGGAUAUAAGUGCCAAAAAUUGCGUGUUUGUCACUCUAGAAUUUUGAAAAUUUCAAAUUUAUGCAAUUUGAUCGUCAUUUUCAUAUGAGGAAACAGACGUUUCACUGCAGAAUUUCAACUGGUGGAUAAAGUUCACAGGUUUGACUCUUUUUGACUAUAAGAGAGUCAAAUUUAUGAGUUAAAAAAUGUCUUUGGAGCGCCUUUGUAAAAUGAAAUAAUUGCAAUGACACAUGUUCAUCCAACUUUAAACCACCAGCUAACCUGACAAGCAGUUCUGCACACAUUGAGACCCAGAACCUGCUUCCUGUGAGGCGAUUAAUGCGCAGCUAUCCGUUACAUUGGGUCUCAUUUAACGAAUCAAGCUAGACUAUGAAAGGGACAAGGUUAGUUAGUACUUGACCAUGGUUUACUCUUGCUAGGCCGAGCAGUCUUUCCACUGCAAGCUCCACCCACAGACACAUUUUUAAUGCUGACAUACAAAUCCAGAUAAAUAUAUAUCACACCUCACACCCUGUUGGCAAGUUAUUUAUUGAAUGCAUAUGAUUUCAUAUUAAGAUCAUUUAAAGAGGCAAGGCUUGUUUAAAAAAGAUUUUACUUGGCUAUGUCGGCAGUCAUCUUGAGUUUUCAAAUGCCUAAUGGCUUUUAUGAAGAAAAAAAAAUCAUAUAGGAAUUUAUACAUCAGCUUUGCCCCUUGUGUCCACCUGUGACUGAUUUCCUUGUACUGCACCUUUCGUACUUAGCUAGUCUAUCAGAUUUCAGGCUUCAAUUAAAUAAAAUGAGAAUAAUGUAAAAUAUCAUUUUUCUAAUUUGACUUGGUAAGAAUGUAAACAAACACAUUUUCUGAAAUCCUACAUCACCAAAACAUUUAUGAAAAUGAACUGAUUCCCCAUGUGUGUUCAUACUAAUUCUGAACCUCUUCUCUGUCCUUCCUUCAGGAAUGGACAGCAAAACUACGGUGGUGGCCCUUGUUGUCACCCUAUUAAUCCUCCUUCUUGCGCUCUUUGUACUGUACAAGAAGCUGAACAGGGAGGCCGAAGGGGAAUAUACAGUCCGACGCAUCGUCUACAAAGAAGGAGGUCUCAGGGACCAGGCGAGAAGUGCAGCGUUAGCUGUGGGGGCACGUCUUGGGGUCCAGCUGUGGCCUGGAAGUGAUGAAGAAGAGGAAGGGGAGGAAAUGCAGGAAGUCCAAGAUGAAGAAGAACAGGUGGAUAGUGGUGAUAGUCAGGGGAGUGACACAGAGGGAGAUGAAGAGGAGGAGGACAACGACACGGACCGGUCUGGUAAUGCUAAGGAGAAAGAAAGUAAUACUUCAAAUGAUAACUCAAGUAUUGGGAGUUCAGAGGCAGGAGAGCAAACCAAACUAAACGAUGAGUCUGAGCCAAAGGGAGAGACGAGUGAAGAAAAGGAGGAGAAAGUGGGAGAAGAGCAGAGUAAAGCUGAGGCAAGUGGAGGGCCGGGAUUGCUGAUAGAUCUAAAGCAGUUCUCUGGAAGCGCGAUCUGGUCUGAAGAAGGUGGUGAGGGUAAAGGUGACGUGACUGCAUUGUGAGAAUCAGAAAUAAUGAAUAAGACUGAGGAAUCUGCCAAAAUCAGGAUUUCACAAACACCAGCUUCAUCCUCUAAAUGUCUCCCCACUGCAAAUUCCUUCUAUUAGUCUAAAAAAAAUAAAAUAAAAUAAAAGAUACAUGCACCCACCCAUUAAACCCCAAAAGCCUUAAACUCUCAUGACCUCACAUGACCUCGUUUUCCUCUGGUCCCAGUUCAAAAGUCUUUGAUGAAUAAAGCAGUUAUAUAAACAUACAGGGGUGCUCUAGAUUGUAACUGUAAAGUGUAAAAAAACAAAAACAAAACAAUACUUGCCUAUACUUUUUUGUUUUAAAUGUUUAUUUUAAUCUACAUAAGAAAUUGAAAACUGGAAACUUUUUUUUAGUGUUUUCUGUUCUGUUUUUUGUUGUUCUUUAUGCCAUUUGUAGAAAUAAAAAAAGGAGUAGUAAUUAAAUAUAGUGAUAACAAAAUAAUGUUUUAUUUGUUUUAAUGAAAAACAAGUGAAUGUAACCCGUCAAACUUUCAGUCAACAUACAUUUUAUAUGCUGUGUAAAUGGUCGAAAAUUUAAUAAACCACAUACUGAAAAUACGAAUGAAUUGUAUACUUUAAAAAUAUAUAAAACAUGUAGUAAUGCUAUCGGCGGAAGCAUGUGUACAUAGCGUGAUCAUAGCAUGACGAAGCUAAAAUUCUUCCGUGUUUUAUGUUUGUAGGGUUUUAGAGGAAAAAACAUGCUAGCGAUAAGCCACAAGUUUCCUGUUGUAUGCAUUAACCGGAACAAAUACAUAUAAAUAACAAUAUAACUUUCAAUAUUAACCGGAACAAAUGCAUAUAAAUAACAAUAUAACUUUCGUAGUCGUAGUUACACCAAAAUCAGCCACAGUGGCGUCACAGCCAAGAGUCACAGAUAAAACCUCUUCUUGUUGGUUAUUCAGCCAAUGGGGAUGUAGCUCAGUGGUAGAGCGCAUGCUUCGCAUGUAUGAGGUCCCGGGUUCAAUCCCCGGCAUCUCCAAUGACUUUUUUUUCAACUUUUAUUUCCCUAUAAGUUGUAAAUGUGAUGUGAAGUGCAAUAUUGUCACAGAAGUCACAGAAGAAGAAAUAAAAAAUUUUAAGCAAUUUAAAGCAGUACGGCAUAACUAUAUCCCAAACACCGUCACCUCAAUGUGUGCACGAGGUGAGGUACGUUUGCGAUUGGCCCAAAGCAGCCCGUGCUCGAAUGUGAUUGGACGGUGGAUGCCUUGGAGGCGUGGGGGUGUUCAUACACGCGAGUGUCAAACAUUUAUUUUCGCCGGUCCAGUACCUGAUAGUUAAGUGAGAGCUGCUCGAUUAAGGCAUUUUGGUUGAGCCAAUAAGUAAAGCUAACUCUAAACUUAGUGUGCCGAAAAUUUAUUAGAGCGAUUAUGUAACACGGACACGGGAUUUUACCUCAAAACAAACUACUCUACAAAGCAGUGUUUUGUUUUGUUUUUUACAGGAGGAGACGAUUUAACGGGGUAAAUAUUAAAAUCCAUUUAAAAAAAAAAAAAAAGAAUCCUCCGUUUUUGGUCUGAUUAUAUUGUUAAAAAAAAUAAUCUUACAAUUUACUAUGAAAGUCGGUUCAUCACAGUAACCU
This is a long non-coding RNA of Oreochromis aureus, 4253 nucleotides long. The record is from Ensembl. NCBI's taxonomy places the organism in Eukaryota, Metazoa, Chordata, Actinopteri, Cichliformes, Cichlidae.